UACGUAGGGGGCAAGCGUUGUCCGGAAUCAUUGGGCGUAAAGCGCGUGUAGGCGGCCCGGUAAGUCCGCUGUGAAAGUCGGGGGCUCAACCCUCGGAUGCCGGUGGAUACUGUCGGGCUAGAGUGCGGGAGAGGCGAGUGGAAUUCCUGGUGUAGCGGUGAAAUGCGCAGAUAUCAUGAGGAACACCAAUAGCGAAGGCAGCUCGCUGGGACGUUACUGACACUGAGGCGCGAAAGCGUGGGGAGCGAACAGG
RNAcentral lists this ribosomal RNA (253 nucleotides) under uncultured bacterium. RNAcentral describes it as "partial 16S ribosomal RNA". It matches the Rfam family "Bacterial small subunit ribosomal RNA", at positions 524 to 776 of the family's 1533-position model. The record is from RNAcentral.